CGGGAUAUAGCUCAGUUUGGCUAGAGUGCUUGUCUGGGGGACAAGAGGUCGCAGGUUCAAGUCCUGUUAUCCCGA
Molecule: transfer RNA, 75 nt
Filed under: Epulopiscium sp. Nele67-Bin005
Lineage: Bacteria; Bacillati; Bacillota; Clostridia; Lachnospirales; Lachnospiraceae
Rfam family: tRNA
About the family: Transfer RNA (tRNA) molecules are approximately 80 nucleotides in length. Their secondary structure includes four short double-helical elements and three loops (D, anti-codon, and T loops).
Source: Rfam by way of RNAcentral